UUCAACGGCCGCGGUAUUCUAACCGUGCAAAGGUAGCGUAAUCACUUGUUCUUUAAAUGAGGACUAGUAUGAAUGGCACCACGAGGAUUAUACUGUCUCCUCUCUCUAAUCAGUGAAACUGAUCUUCCCGUGAAGAAGCGGGGAUUUAUUUAUAAGACGAGAAGACCCUAUGGAGCUUUAAACUUUUAACAAUUGCCCAAAUAAUUUUAAUUCCAGAAAAUAAACCUUAAUUUAGCACUUUGAUUUUUAAGUUUUCGGUUGGGGUGACCACGGAGCAAAACUUAACCUCCGCACUGAAAGGCCCUAGGCCUUAUUUAAGAACCACAAUUCCAUACACCAACAAUUUGACAUAAUUGACCCAAUACAUUGAUCAAUGAACCAAGUUACCCUAGGGAUAACAGCGCAAUCCACUUCAAGAGCCCCUAUCGACAAGUGGGUUUACGACCUCGAUGUUGGAUCAGGGUUCCCCAGUGGUGCAGCCGCUACUAAAGGUUCGUUUGUUCAACGAUUAAAACCCU
Molecule: ribosomal RNA, 518 nt
Filed under: Paratelmatobius cf. segallai MTS-2020
Lineage: Eukaryota; Metazoa; Chordata; Amphibia; Anura; Leptodactylidae
Description: partial 16S ribosomal RNA
Rfam family: Bacterial large subunit ribosomal RNA
Source: RNAcentral